RNAcentral lists this non-coding RNA (207 nucleotides) under Flavobacterium indicum. The record is from RNAcentral. Lineage: Bacteria; Pseudomonadati; Bacteroidota; Flavobacteriia; Flavobacteriales; Flavobacteriaceae.
AUUUUGCACUCGAAUUAUGGUUCAAACUUCUGAAUUUUUCAAAAGUUUGAUUAAAAGGGAAUCAGGUGUGAAACCUGAGCUGUACCCGCAACUGUAAGCUAUUCAGCUUGUUAUUACUACUAAGUCACUGUCUCUUUAUUAACUACGAGAUGGGAAGACCAAUAACAAGACGCAAGCCAGGAAACCUGCCUAUUUCAAACGAAUAUC